GCGGAGACGCAUGUUUCCGUUCACUCCUCACACCACACUCCGCCCGGACUGCUGUUCCGGGCGGUU
Molecule: small RNA, 66 nt
Filed under: Fischerella thermalis
Lineage: Bacteria; Bacillati; Cyanobacteriota; Cyanophyceae; Nostocales; Hapalosiphonaceae
Also listed under: 1 other name
Description: Cyanobacterial functional RNA 1
Rfam family: Cyanobacterial functional RNA 1
Source: RNAcentral